AACAAUCGGCUGAGAAUUCCAUUCCUCUCCGGAUAUCUGUUCGGAAUCAGCUGCAGCCACUGCAUUCUCUGUAACUUCCACUCUUCCGGAGCAACUUUUUCUUUUUAUCAAGUACAUGGCAACAAUCGAAGAACUCAUCCCAAUCAUCGUAAUACCCAAAACUGUUCCGAUGAUCAAAUGUGUAUGAUUUCUUCUGGUUACACUUUUAUACGUCUUAUGUCCACAGGGUUCGGUUGAGGAGUUAUCGUUCCUGCAGAGAAGAGGAUUCCCGGCGAAACAUAAAUCCGGGAAUGUUGAGAACUGCCCGCCCGUCGGGACCGUGCCGGAAAGAUUGUUAUAUGCAACGUUAAAACACGACAAGAAGCUG
RNAcentral lists this long non-coding RNA (367 nucleotides) under Zostera marina. Its description in RNAcentral is "long non-coding RNA (ZMAR_LNC001725)". Lineage: Eukaryota; Viridiplantae; Streptophyta; Magnoliopsida; Alismatales; Zosteraceae. The record is from RNAcentral.